UUCAAGAUUCUAAGAGCAAACGGUGGAUGCCUUGGCAUCUGGAGCCGAAGAAGGACGUAUAAAUCUGCGAUAAGCCUCGGGGAGCUGAUAAUAGAGCUUUGAUCCGAGGAUCUCCGAAUGGGGAAACCCCGCCAGGCCCUUUGGGUGACCUGGUGACUCCCGCCUGAAUAUAUAGGGCGGGUAGAGGGAACGUGGGGAAGUGAAACAUCUCAGUACCCACAGGAAGAGAAAGCAAAAGCGAUUCCGUUAGUAGUGGCGAGCGAAACCGGAAGAGGCCAAACCGAUCAUGUGUGAUAUCCGGUAGGAGUUGCAUGGUCGGGGUUGCGGGACUUUCCGUACAGUUCUACCGAGCUGUGAGGGCAAUGAGCGCGAUAUAGACGAAUGGUCUUGAAAGGCCAGUCAUAGAGGGUGCGAACCCCGUAGUCGAAAUGUCGUCGCCUGUCCGGAGAGUAUCCCAAGUAGCACGGGGCCCGAGAAAUCCCGUGUGAAUCUGUCAGGACCACCUGAUAAGCCUAAAUACUCCCAGAUGACCGAUAGCGGACAAGUACCGUGAGGGAAAGGUGAAAAGUACCCCGGGAGGGGAGUGAAAUAGUACCUGAAACCGUUUGCUUACAAACCGUUGGAGCACCCUUGUUGGUGUGACAGCGUGCCUUUUGAAGAAUGAGCCUGCGAGUUAGUGAUAUGUGGCGAGGUUAACCCGUGAGGGGCAGCCGUAGCGAAAGCGAGUCUUAAUAGGGCGUAUGAGUCGCAUGUUCUAGACCCGAAGCGAAGUGAUCUAUCCAUGGCCAGGUUGAAGCGACGGUAAGACGUCGUGGAGGACCGAACCCACUUCAGUUGAAAAUGGAGGGGAUGAGCUGUGGAUAGGGGUGAAAGGCCAAUCAAACUUCGUGAUAGCUGGUUCUCUCCGAAAUGCAUUUAGGUGCAGCGUUGCGUGUUUCUUGCCGGAGGUAGAGCUACUGGAUGGACGAUGGGCCCCAAAAGGUUACUGACUUCAGCCAAACUCCGAAUGCCGGUAAGUGAGAGCGCAGCAGUGAGACGGUGGGGGAUAAGCUUCAUCGUCGAGAGGGAAACAACCCAGACCACCAUCUAAGGUCCCUAAGCGCGUGCUAAGUGGGAAAGGAUGUGGAGUUGCAUAGACAACCAGGAGGUUGGCUUAGAAGCAGCCACCCUUGAAAGAGUGCGUAAUAGCUCACUGGUCAAGUGAUUCCGCGCCGACAAUGUAACGGGGCUCAAGCACGCCACCGAAGUUGUGGCAUUUAUAUUAUAGGCAGGCCUUCGUGGUCCAGCCGUAUGGAUGGGUAGGAGAGCGUCGUGUGGCCAGCGAAGCGGCGGUGUGAACCAGCCGUGGAGGCCACACGAGUGAGAAUGCAGGCAUGAGUAGCGAAAGACGGGUGAGAAACCCGUCCUCCGAAAGACCAAGGGUUCCAGGGCCAGGCUAAUCCGCCCUGGGUAAGUCGGGACCUAAGGCGAGGCCGACAGGCGUAGUCGAUGGACAACGGGUUGAUAUUCCCGUACCGAUGAAGAACCGCCCAAGACAAUCCAGUAAUGCUAAGUGUCUGAAUCCUUGAUUCGAUCCCUUCGGGGUGACGGUCUUGGCCUAGCACACGACCCUACGCUGGGGCGUUUAGCGUAUUAACAGGUGUGACGCAGGAAGGUAGCUGAGCCGGGCGAUGGUUGUCCCGGUCUAAGGAUGUAGGGCAGAAGAUAGGCAAAUCCGUCUUCUAUGUAGCCUGAGACCCGAUGGGUAGUCCU
RNAcentral lists this ribosomal RNA (1752 nucleotides) under Clavibacter michiganensis subsp. michiganensis. RNAcentral's name for it is "partial 23S ribosomal RNA". It matches the Rfam family "Bacterial large subunit ribosomal RNA", at positions 1 to 1577 of the family's 2925-position model. Lineage: Bacteria; Bacillati; Actinomycetota; Actinomycetes; Micrococcales; Microbacteriaceae. The record is from RNAcentral.